AGCGAACGCUAGCGGCGGGCCUAACACAUGCAAGUCGAGCGCAUACUUUCGGGUAUGAGCGGCGGACGGGUGAGUAACACGUAGGUAAUCUGCCCUCUGGUGGGGAAUAACCCGGGGAAACCCGGCUAAUGCCGCAUAUGGCCUUUGGGUCAAAGCCUUCGGGCGCCAGAGGAUGAGCCUGCGUCGCAUUACCUAGUUGGUGGGGUAAAAGCCUACCAAGGGGACGAUUCGUAGCUGGUCUGAGAGGAUGAUCAGCCACACUGGGACUGAGACACGGCCCAGACUCCUACGGGAGGCUG
RNAcentral lists this ribosomal RNA (299 nucleotides) under uncultured Pseudomonadota bacterium. Its description in RNAcentral is "uncultured proteobacterium partial 16S ribosomal RNA". It matches the Rfam family "Bacterial small subunit ribosomal RNA", at positions 29 to 351 of the family's 1533-position model. Lineage: Bacteria; Pseudomonadati; Pseudomonadota. The record is from RNAcentral.